This 253-nucleotide ribosomal RNA is filed under the name Blastomonas sp. Its description in RNAcentral is "partial 16S ribosomal RNA". It matches the Rfam family "Bacterial small subunit ribosomal RNA", at positions 524 to 776 of the family's 1533-position model. The record is from RNAcentral. Lineage: Bacteria; Pseudomonadati; Pseudomonadota; Alphaproteobacteria; Sphingomonadales; Blastomonadaceae. RNAcentral also lists the same sequence under 2 other names.
UACGGAGGGAGCUAGCGUUGUUCGGAAUUACUGGGCGUAAAGCGCACGUAGGCGGCCAUUCAAGUCAGAGGUGAAAGCCCGGGGCUCAACCCCGGAACUGCCUUUGAAACUAGAUGGCUUGAAUCUUGGAGAGGCGAGUGGAAUUCCGAGUGUAGAGGUGAAAUUCGUAGAUAUUCGGAAGAACACCAGUGGCGAAGGCGACUCGCUGGACAAGUAUUGACGCUGAGGUGCGAAAGCGUGGGGAGCAAACAGG